UACGUAGGGUGCGAGCGUUAAUCGGAAUUACUGGGCGUAAAGCGUGCGCAGGCGGUUGGUUAAGUCUGAUGUGAAAGCCCCGGGCUCAACCUGGGAAUGGCAUUGGAAACUGUCCAGCUGGAGUGUGGCAGAGGGGGGUGGAAUUCCGCGUGUAGCAGUGAAAUGCGUAGAGAUGCGGAGGAACACCGAUGGCGAAGGCAGCCCCCUGGGCCAACACUGACGCUCAGGCACGAAAGCGUGGGGAGCGAACAGG
Molecule: ribosomal RNA, 253 nt
Filed under: uncultured bacterium
Lineage: Bacteria
Description: partial 16S ribosomal RNA
Rfam family: Bacterial small subunit ribosomal RNA
Source: RNAcentral